GGGAAGAAGGUCCUGAGGGAGAAGAGCAAUUAAGAAUACUACGAUGGCAACAGAAGCUGACUUGGGAGCUUGAUGGGACACCACCUCGAAGAAGAAACUAUAGUCUGAAAUUGUCCGCCUGAUCCUUAGAAACUUCCUGAGGGAGAUGUUCCAACUGUUAUCUCCCUGCCCAGGAAGCAGCCAUGAUGGCUCCUGCACAGGAUCCUCACACUGAUGCCAACUCAAGUUCCCCCCCUCAUCAGAUGGAGCUCAGCCAAGCACACAGCAUUGCAGCAGAAGCAGGGACUGUUCUACUGAGAGAGCUUGUGUAACACAGGGAAUGAGAAUGUAAGCCUUGCUCUGAUUCUAGGCUUCCUGUGUUCCAGACAUUAUCUAUUGUGCAGAAGGGGUUGCCUACAUUUUGGGACAGAUAAAACAGUACAUCCCAGGCCUUUUUGAGCUGAUUAAAUAUGUUA
Molecule: long non-coding RNA, 455 nt
Organism: Nycticebus coucang (slow loris)
Lineage: Eukaryota; Metazoa; Chordata; Mammalia; Primates; Lorisidae
Exons: 3
Source: RefSeq, a predicted model, not a curated record